CGGCGGACGGGUGGGUAACGCGUGGGUAACCUGCCUCAUACAGGGGGAUAACAGUUGGAAACGGCUGCUAAUACCGCAUAAGCGCACAGUACCGCAUGGUACGGUGUGAAAAACUCCGGUGGUAUGAGAUGGACCCGCGUCUGAUUAGGUAGUUGGUGGGGUAACGGCCUACCAAGCCGACGAUCAGUAGCCGACCUGAGAGGGUGACCGGCCACAUUGGGACUGAGACACGGCCCAA
This 238-nucleotide ribosomal RNA is filed under the name uncultured bacterium. Its description in RNAcentral is "partial 16S ribosomal RNA". It matches the Rfam family "Bacterial small subunit ribosomal RNA", at positions 96 to 334 of the family's 1533-position model. The record is from RNAcentral.